This is a long non-coding RNA of Etheostoma spectabile (orangethroat darter), 377 nucleotides long. RefSeq lists it as uncharacterized. The transcript is spliced from 3 exons. Lineage: Eukaryota; Metazoa; Chordata; Actinopteri; Perciformes; Percidae. The record is from RefSeq and is a predicted model, not a curated record.
UGUGUUCGGUCAUUCUGGGCGUGUCUGGUCUAACAGGGAGGUGUGUUCAGGUGCAUUCUGGGCGUGCUGGUCUAACAGGGAGUUGGUCAGGGCAUUCUGGGCGUCCUGGUCUAACAGGGAGGUGUUGUCAGGUGCAUUCUGGGCGUGCUGGUCUGAGGGGAGGUGUGUCAGGGUGCAUUCUGGCGGUGCUGGUCUAACAGGGAGGUGUGUUCAGGUGCAUUCUGGGCGUGCUGGUUACAGGGGGGUGUGUUCAGGGCAUUCUGCGGGUGCUGGUUUACAGGAGGUGGUUCCGGUGAUUUGGCGUGCUGGUCUAGGGAGGUGUGUUCAGUGCAUUCUGGGCGUGCUGGUCUUCAGGGAGGUGUGUUCAGGUGAUUCUG